Molecule: ribosomal RNA, 450 nt
Filed under: uncultured crenarchaeote
Lineage: Archaea; Thermoproteati; Thermoproteota
Description: bacterial SSU rRNA
Rfam family: Archaeal small subunit ribosomal RNA
Source: RNAcentral
UGGUGUCAGCCGCCGCGGUAAAACCAGCACCUCAAGUGGUCAGGAUGAUUAUUGGGCCUAAAGCAUCCGUAGCCGGCUCUGUAAGUUUUCGGUUAAAUCUGUACGCUCAACGUACAGGCUGCCGGGAAUACUGCAAAGCUAGGGAGUGGGAGAAGUAGACGGUACUCGGUAGGAAGUGGUAAAAUGCUUUGAUCUAUCGAUGACCACCUGUGGCGAAGGCGGUCUACUAGAACACGUCCGACGGUGAGGGAUGAAAGCUGGGGGAGCAAACCGGAUUAGAUACCCGGGUAGUCCCAGCUGUAAACUAUGCAAACUCAGUGAUGCAUUGGCUUGUGGCCAAUGCAGUGCUGCAGGGAAGCCGUUAAGGUUGCCGCCUGGGAAGUACGUACGCAAGUAUGAAACUUAAAGGAAUUGGCGGGGGAGCACCACAAGGGGUGAAGCCUGCGGUUC